GAUGAACGCUGGCGGCGUGCCUAAUACAUGCAAGUCGAGCGAACAGAUAAGGAGCUUGCUCCUUUGACGUUAGCGGCGGACGGGUGAGUAACACGUGGGUAACCUACCUAUAAGACUGGAAUAACUCCGGGAAACCGGGGCUAAUGCCGGAUAACAUGUUGAACCGCAUGGUUCUACAGUGAAAGGCGGCUUUGCUGUCACUUAUAGAUGGACCCGCGCCGUAUUAGCUAGUUGGUGAGGUAACGGCUCACCAAGGCAACGAUACGUAGCCGACCUGAGAGGAUGAUCGGCCACACUGGAACUGAGACACGGUCCAGACUCCUACGGGAGGCAGCAGUAGGGAAUCUUCCGCAAUGGGCGAAAGCCUGACGGAGCAACGCCGCGUGAGUGAUGAAGGUCUUCGGAUCGUAAAACUCUGUUAUUAGGGAAGAACAAAUGCGUAAGUAACUGUGCGCGUCUUGACGGUACCUAAUCAGAAAGCCACGGCUAACUACGUG
RNAcentral lists this ribosomal RNA (497 nucleotides) under uncultured bacterium. RNAcentral describes it as "partial 16S ribosomal RNA". It matches the Rfam family "Bacterial small subunit ribosomal RNA", at positions 28 to 507 of the family's 1533-position model. The record is from RNAcentral.